This is a long non-coding RNA of Ictalurus punctatus (channel catfish), 2207 nucleotides long. RefSeq lists it as uncharacterized. NCBI's taxonomy places the organism in Eukaryota, Metazoa, Chordata, Actinopteri, Siluriformes, Ictaluridae. The transcript is spliced from 3 exons. The record is from RefSeq and is a predicted model, not a curated record.
CAAGAGAAAAGUCUGCCACUCAUCUGAUGUAGAAAUAGAUCAAAAGUAUAUAAGGAAGUAACUGCUUGAAAAGAUAAUAGACCCUACAGUAUAACUGUCAAAAAUGAUGAUGUACAUAAUGUUACAAGAAAACAGACUGAGGCAAGAUAUAAGGAAAUGUUUAGGGCAGCAUUAAAAUAGAAAACCCAAGACACCUUGGAGAUACAUAACGAGGAAACGUGUGGAAACUUGUGAUUGGAUGUGCAAAAAGAGGAAACGUGUGAUUGGUUAAAAUUGGAAAAUGUAUUGGAAUGUAAAUAAGGAUAUGGUAAACUAGCAGGAGCUUUGGUGCAAAUUACAUCUUCAUGUGGCGAGCAGUCCUGGUACCAGUUGGUUUGUUUGCUGUCUUGCAUUACUGCUUAUAAACUUAUUUGAAUAUCUGAAUUCAUGAAUUCGCUGUUUUAUUCAUCUUGAGUGUAAGAUAGAUCUUGUAAUUAGUUUAUAGUUUGAAUCUGUGAACUAGCAGGGUCAAUGUAGGAUGGAGAAGCAGCCACCUGACUGAGGGGACAAAGCCCCGCCAUCCUGACCAGACAACUUUGGCCAACCAUAGGAAAAGAUGCGUUUGUGCACUAAAGCCUAGUGUGACAACUCCAUGACUCUGGCGAUGAAUUGGAAGUUUUUUUUGAAGGAAGACAGCAUGAAUUGAGCGGAGGAGCAUUCCAGCAAGGAAUGGACAUGAGAAGAAGAAAUGCUCCUCAUCCUCCUCACACUUCUUCUGAGGCCUUCUCCCCCAACAUGCACGUGGAAUUUUCCACUGCAAAACUGACAACUCCAUCUACCCUCAGAGAAGUCAGAGAAGAGGGGUCACUUGUGUAUCACUCAUUUGAGCCAUUAGGAGAGCCAGUGCUCCUGCACCUACAACACAACCUGAACAGGUGGCACAAUAUUAACGAGGAUGAAGGGGUCUCCUGUACAAUAUCACUUUUCUCCAGCCCACAUUCCUUGGGUACAGCUUGAUAGCCAGCAGAAGCACACAUCUCUAGAGCUGUUCUAGUUAUUUUUUUGGUAAAGCCACUCUGCAACAACACAAACCGGUAUGCAGAGUAAAAGCAGAAUGGUAUGUAGGCACCAUGGAGUCCUGUAACUAGCCUGAAAAUAUGCAAAUUCCUGGGCCUAGUCAUUUACUGUAAAUAUAAAGCCAUCAAGAGAUUGAGAUUUGUGGAGAAAGAAUAAGCUACAUAAUUUUCCAUUCCAAACCUCUGUAUGGGCAUUCUACAGAUUUGAUGCAAUAUUCUGGAUCCUUACAAGCAACGUCAAAGAUGAUGAGCAGAAUGACCGGCUAAAAGGCAUCACUAGCUAUGAUUGGCUCUUUUAUGUGAAGCCCACCAGGAAGCAGCUCUUAUUGACAUGAGGGGUAUACUGUCCACCUCACCAGAACCUGGUCAUCGAUGAAAGAAAUGGAAGCCACAAGGUCUAGAAUUGUGGAUUUUAGGACUUAUGAGGCCAUGGGUUCAGUGUGUCUGAGCCAGUGCCGGCUCCAACUGCCAGUGACAUAUCACAGAUGGCAGAGAAGAGGCCAUGCUAUCCAGUGACAAUUGUAAACACCUCAACCUCUGCCCAGAGAGACAAAGCCUCAACUGGGAGAAAACACUGUGUACUGCCUUCAAAGGAAGUUCACCAAGACUAUUUACAAAUACAGGUCUUGUGAUGUGUUCCUGUGUACUAUAUUGGACCAUCUUUGUUUCAGUGAGUUGGGAUUAUGCCAAGGACAGCCAAGCUCUAUGAUGCGCACUAGAAUAUGACUCUUAAUAUUUUUUUAUUAAGGUUUUUUGCACUUUUGUUCAUGUUUUGCAUAUAGUAGUUUAUAUUUUGCACUUUCAUAUUUGUUGUAAAUAGUUAUUUUUGCCUCCUAAAAUCCAACCCCAUGUCUAUGUCAUAGGGGGUGGAAACAGCACCUUCUGCAUGCCUAUAUUACAUAUUUGACAGUGCUAAUUGGGCUCUUGUGCUGAUUUCAGUAAAGGGUAAAUGAGAUGUUUCAAAGUUCCAAACUCUUUAUUUGUGAAAUUGCACAUUCUGUAGCUAAGAGUUUCAUGGUUUUCCAAUUUGUUAUUUCAUUUUGUGCCAUUUGGAUAUGUUUUUGUCUAUUUUGUUGGUGGUUUGUGUCAUAUGGACAUGUUCUCUAUGUGUAAUAAACUCAUCUUCAUGAUUUCUUAACAUGUGCAUUAUGG